GAACGAACGCUGGCGGCAGGCUUAACACAUGCAAGUCGAGCGCCCCGCAAGGGGAGCGGCAGACGGGUGAGUAACGCGUGGGAAUCUACCCAUCUCUACGGAACAACUCCGGGAAACUGGAGCUAAUACCGUAUACGUCCUUCGGGAGAAAGAUUUAUCGGAGAUGGAUGAGCCCGCGUUGGAUUAGCUAGUUGGUGGGGUAAUGGCCUACCAAGGCGACGAUCCAUAGCUGGUCUGAGAGGAUGAUCAGCCACACUGGGACUGAGACACGGCCCAGACUCCUACGGGAGGCAGCAGUGGGGAAUAUUGGACAAUGGGCGCAAGCCUGAUCCAGCCAUGCCNNNUGAGUGAUGAAGGCCCUAGGGUUGUAAAGCUCUUUCAACCGUGAAGAUAAUGACGGUAA
This 403-nucleotide ribosomal RNA is filed under the name uncultured rape rhizosphere bacterium wr0120. Its description in RNAcentral is "bacterial SSU rRNA". It matches the Rfam family "Bacterial small subunit ribosomal RNA", at positions 27 to 478 of the family's 1533-position model. The record is from RNAcentral.